GAAACGCGAAAUGUAAUGUGAAUCGCAACUAACAGUGAAUCAUCGAAUCUUUGAACGCAGGCCGCACUUUGCAGCAUCACUCCGUGUUGCCGCAAGGUAUUUACGUAUGAGUGUCAGCCAAAUAACCUUUUGGUUCAUGGGGGUGAUUUGACAUUGUCUUGUCUAACUCGUGAAUACACAGAUGUCAAGAGACAUAUCUCUCUGAAACAUGAUCGUGUCUGGCCUCAUAUGUGAAAGGUUACCCGCUGGAUUUAAGC
RNAcentral lists this unclassified non-coding RNA (257 nucleotides) under plant metagenome. Its description in RNAcentral is "partial contains 5.8S ribosomal RNA, internal transcribed spacer 2, and large subunit ribosomal RNA". The stretch from base 1 to 116 matches the Rfam family "5.8S ribosomal RNA", at positions 50 to 154 of the family's 154-position model. The record is from RNAcentral.